GUCGAACGAAGCAGAAGGAUGCUUGCAUCCUUUUGACUGAGUGGCGGACGGGUGAGUAACGUGUGGAGAACCUACCUUACACAGGGGGAUAACGGCUGGAAACGGCUGCUAAUACCGCAUAAGCAUACAGCUUCGCAUGAAGCCGUGUGAAAAGAAGUAUCGGUGUAAGAUGGCUCCGCAUCUGAUUAGCUAGUUGGUGAGGUAAUGGCUCACCAAGGCAACGAUCAGUAGCCGGCCUGAGAGGGCGACCGGCCACAUUGGGACUGAGACACGGCCCAGACUCCUACGGGAGGCAGCAGUGGGGAAUCUUGCACAAUGGGGGAAACCCUGAUGCAGCAACGCCGCGUGAGCGAAGAAGUAUUUCGGUAUGUAAAGCUCUAUCAGCAGGGAAUAGAAAAGAAGGUACCUGACUAAGAAGCCCCGGCUAACUACGUGCCAGCAGCCGCGGUAAUACGUAGGGGGCAAGCGUUAUCCGGAUUUACUGGGUGUAAAGGGAGCGUAGACGGCUGUUUAAGUCAGAAGUGAAAGCCCAUUGCUUAACGAUGGGACUGCUUUUGAAACUAAGGAGCUGGAGUGCAGGAGAGGUAAGUGGAAUUCCUAGUGUAGCGGUGAAAUGCGUAGAGAUUAGAAGGAACACCAGUGGCGAAGGCGGCUUACUGGACUGUAACUGACGUUGAGGCUCGAAAGCGUGGGGAGCUAAAAAGAUUAGAUACCCUGGUAGUCCACGCGGUA
RNAcentral lists this ribosomal RNA (732 nucleotides) under uncultured bacterium. Its description in RNAcentral is "bacterial SSU rRNA". It matches the Rfam family "Bacterial small subunit ribosomal RNA", at positions 61 to 804 of the family's 1533-position model. The record is from RNAcentral.